RNAcentral lists this ribosomal RNA (410 nucleotides) under uncultured Clostridium sp. RNAcentral's name for it is "bacterial SSU rRNA". It matches the Rfam family "Bacterial small subunit ribosomal RNA", at positions 72 to 476 of the family's 1533-position model. The record is from RNAcentral. Lineage: Bacteria; Bacillati; Bacillota; Clostridia; Eubacteriales; Clostridiaceae.
UCGGAUGGAAUCUUGUUAAUUUAGCGGCGGACGGGUGAGUAACGCGUGAGCGACCAACCUUGCACAGGGGGAUAACGGACCGAAAGGUUCACUAAUACCGCAUGAGACCACGGUGUUGCAUGACACAGAGGUCAAAGGAGCAAUCCGGUGCAAGACGGGCUCGCGUCCGAUUAGGUAGUUGGAGGGGUAACGGCCCACCAAGCCUAUGAUCGGUAGCCGACCUGAGAGGGUGAUCUGCCACAUUGGAACUGAGACACGGUCCAGACUCCUACGGGAGGCAGCAGUGGGGAAUUUUGGACAAUGGGGGCAACCCUGAUCCAGCCAUGCCGCGUGAGUGAAGAAGGCCUUCGGGUUGUAAAGCUCUUUCGGCCGGGAAGAAAUCGCAUAGGUUAAUACCCUGUGUGGAUGAC